RNAcentral lists this ribosomal RNA (253 nucleotides) under uncultured bacterium. Its description in RNAcentral is "partial 16S ribosomal RNA". It matches the Rfam family "Bacterial small subunit ribosomal RNA", at positions 524 to 776 of the family's 1533-position model. The record is from RNAcentral.
UACGGAGGGGGCUAGCGUUGUUCGGAAUUACUGGGCGUAAAGCGCACGUAGGCGGCUUUGUAAGUUAGAGGUGAAAGCCCGGGGCUCAACUCCGGAAUUGCCUUUAAGACUGCAUCGCUAGAAUUGUGGAGAGGUAAGUGGAAUUCCGAGUGUAGAGGUGAAAUUCGUAGAUAUUCGGAAGAACACCAGUGGCGAAGGCGACUGACUGGACAUGUAUUGACGCUGAGGUGCGAAAGCGUGGGGAGCAAACAGG